GGCCCCGCAGGCAGGACUCUGGGACAGACGCAGGCCAGGUGAGCGUCUGAACAAGGGGCAGUCGGCCAGGGUGGGCUUGCGGGAGUCCCCACCUUCACCUCUCUCCCUUCCAGCUGCCCAGAGCCCAGACCAAGCAUGGAUGCUGUGGAUGCCACCAUGGAGAAACUCCGGGCACAGUGCCUGUCCCGCGGGGCCUCGGGCAUCCAGGGCCUGGCCAGGUGAGCUGUCCCCUCCCAGCUUCCUGACGCCAGCCCCUGAGACCACUGUUCCAAUUGUGUCCCCUGCCUCCAGGUUUUUCCGCCAACUAGACCGGGACAGGAGCAGAUCCCUGGACGCUGAUGAGUUCCGGCAGGGUCUGGCCAAACUCGGGCUGGUGCUGGACCAGGCGGAGGCAGAGGGUGUGUGCAGGAAGUGGGACCGCGACGGCAGCGGGACACUGGAUCUGGAGGAGUUCCUUCGGGCGCUGCGGGUGAGCCCCCACCUCACAAUCAAGGCGUGUGCCCUGGGCAUGAGGUGACAGAGGAUGCUGAGAUGCGGAGACAGGGGACUCCUCCUCAAGAGCUGCUGUUAAGAGGCGCCUGCUGGGGCAUACAGCCCCGGUGCUCUGCACAGCGUCUUGGGGGUUUGGGUGUGCUACCCACCACCCCCAGUCACCACCUCCUGUCCCAGCCCCCCAUGUCCCAGGCCCGGGAGGCAGUCAUCGCAGCUGCAUUUGCCAAGCUGGACCGCAGUGGGGACGGUGUCGUGACGGUGGACGACCUCCGCGGGGUGUACAGUGGCCGUGCCCACCCCAAGGUGCGCAGUGGGGAGUGGACCGAGGACGAGGUGCUGCGCCGCUUCCUGGACAACUUCGACUCCUC
Molecule: small RNA, 860 nt
Filed under: Pongo abelii (Sumatran orangutan)
Lineage: Eukaryota; Metazoa; Chordata; Mammalia; Primates; Hominidae
Description: retained intron
Source: RNAcentral